This 241-nucleotide ribosomal RNA is filed under the name uncultured Actinomycetales bacterium. Its description in RNAcentral is "partial 16S ribosomal RNA". It matches the Rfam family "Bacterial small subunit ribosomal RNA", at positions 89 to 334 of the family's 1533-position model. Lineage: Bacteria; Bacillati; Actinomycetota; Actinomycetes; Actinomycetales. The record is from RNAcentral.
ACUCGAGUGGCGAACGGGUGAGUAACACGUGGGUGAUCUGCCCUGCACUUCGGGAUAAGCCUGGGAAACUGGGUCUAAUACCGGAUAGGAGCCAUCUUUAGUGUGGUGGUUGGAAAGUUUUUCGGUGUAGGAUGAGCUCGCGGCCUAUCAGCUUGUUGGUGGGGUAACGGCUUACCAAGGCGGCGACGGGUAGCCGGCCUGAGAGGGUGGACGGCCACAUUGGGACUGAGAUACGGCCCAG